AAAGUACUCCCUCCGUCCCAAAAUUCUUGUCUUAGAUUUGUCUAGAAGCAGAUGUAUCAAGUCACAUUUUAGUAUUAGAUACAUCCGUAUCUAGACAAAUCUAAGACAAGAAAUUUGGGAUAGAGGGAGUAGUUG
This is a non-coding RNA of Triticum aestivum (bread wheat), 135 nucleotides long. NCBI's taxonomy places the organism in Eukaryota, Viridiplantae, Streptophyta, Magnoliopsida, Poales, Poaceae. The record is from Rfam.